AGGGAUGUAGCUCAGUUGUAGAACAUUGGCUUUGCAUGCAGAAUGUCCUGGUUCAAUCCCUGGCAUCUCCA
Podarcis lilfordi (Lilford's wall lizard) is the source of this 71-nucleotide non-coding RNA. Lineage: Eukaryota; Metazoa; Chordata; Lepidosauria; Squamata; Lacertidae. The record is from the annotation of a GenBank genome assembly.